This 408-nucleotide ribosomal RNA is filed under the name uncultured bacterium. RNAcentral describes it as "partial 16S ribosomal RNA". It matches the Rfam family "Bacterial small subunit ribosomal RNA", at positions 28 to 526 of the family's 1533-position model. The record is from RNAcentral.
GACGAACGCUGGCGGCGUGCUUAACACAUGCAAGUCGAACGGAGUGGCGAACGGGUGAGUAACACGUGGGUGAUCUGCCUUGCACUUCGGGAUAAGCUUGGGAAACUGGGUCUAAUACCGGAUAGUGCAAGAGGAGCUCGCGGCCUAUCAGCUUGUGGGUGGGGUAAUGGCCUACCAAGGCGUCGACGGGUAGCCGGCCUGAGAGGGUUGACAGCCACAUUGGGACUGAGAUGCGGCCCAGACCCCUACGGGGGGCAGUGGGGGGGAAUAUUGCACAAUGGGCUGAAGUCUGAUGCAGCGACGCCGGGUGGGGGAUGAAUGCCUUCGGGUUGUAAACUCCUUUCGACAGGGACGCGGUACCUGUAUAAGAAGCACCGGCUAACUACGUGCCAGCAGCCGCGGUAAUAC